RNAcentral lists this ribosomal RNA (482 nucleotides) under uncultured bacterium. RNAcentral describes it as "partial 16S ribosomal RNA". It matches the Rfam family "Bacterial small subunit ribosomal RNA", at positions 30 to 506 of the family's 1533-position model. The record is from RNAcentral.
UUGAACGCUGGCGGCAGGCCUCACACAUGCCAGUCGAGCGGAUGACGGGAGCUUGCUCCUUGAUUCAGCGGCGGACGGGUGAGUAAUGCCUAGGAAUCUGCCUGGUAGUGGGGGACAACGUUUCGAAAGGAACGCUAAUACCGCAUACGUCCUACGGGAGAAAGCAGGGGACCUUCGGGCCUUGCGCUAUCAGAUGAGCCUAGGUCGGAUUAGCUUGUUGGUGAGGUAAUGGCUCACCAAGGCGACGAUCCGUAACUGGUCUGAGAGGAUGAUCAGUCACACUGGAACUGAGACACGGUCCAGACUCCUACGGGAGGCAGCAGUGGGGAAUAUUGGACAAUGGGCGAAAGCCUGAUCCAGCCAUGCCGCGUGUGUGAAGAAGGUCUUCGGAUUGUAAAGCACUUUAAGUUGGGAGGAAGGGUUGUAGAUUAAUACUCUGCAAUUUUGACGUUACCGACAGAAUAAGCACCGGCUAACUCUGU